Non-coding RNA from Cherax quadricarinatus, 403 nucleotides. NCBI's taxonomy places the organism in Eukaryota, Metazoa, Arthropoda, Malacostraca, Decapoda, Parastacidae. The record is from RefSeq and is a predicted model, not a curated record.
CUGAGAGUCGCCCUUAACAACCCAACAACAACAACAAGUUUGAACUGCACAGUGAGUUUAUUAUCAAAGAUACCUCAGAUGGAUCAGCUGGAAUAAGGUAGAGGGAGUUCAGAAAACUUCCAACAAGGUAGUCACUUGCUCGAAGACUGGUAGAGAAGAAAUCAUCUAAUAUAUUGACUGUUUCAGAAGGGAGCAUUACAUCCAGUGCCCAUUGAUUACCAACCAAAAGCAACUUGCUGCCUGGUCCCACUGCUGGGCCACUGACCACAGGCAACUUCUUGGCCAGUCCCACUGCGGGAAUUACUGACCACAGGCAACAUCUUGGCCAGUCCCACUGCUGGACCACUGACCACAUCGCACUCAGUUCCACCGACAGCAAAGUUUCACUCACGGACCAUUGAGG